RNAcentral lists this ribosomal RNA (1491 nucleotides) under Bacillus paramycoides. RNAcentral describes it as "bacterial SSU rRNA". It matches the Rfam family "Bacterial small subunit ribosomal RNA". The record is from RNAcentral. Lineage: Bacteria; Bacillati; Bacillota; Bacilli; Caryophanales; Bacillaceae.
CCUUAAUAACAUGCCAAGUCGAGCGAAUGGUUAAGAGCUUGCUCUUAUGAAGUUAGCGGCGGACGGGUGAGUAACACGUGGGUAACCUGCCCAUAAGACUGGGAUAACUCCGGGAAACCGGGGCUAAUACCGGAUAACAUUUUGAACCGCAUGGUUCGAAAUUGAAAGGCGGCUUCGGCUGUCACUUAUGGAUGGACCCGCGUCGCAUUAGCUAGUUGGUGAGGUAACGGCUCACCAAGGCAACGAUGCGUAGCCGACCUGAGAGGGUGAUCGGCCACACUGGGACUGAGACACGGCCCAGACUCCUACGGGAGGCAGCAGUAGGGAAUCUUCCGCAAUGGACGAAAGUCUGACGGAGCAACGCCGCGUGAGUGAUGAAGGCUUUCGGGUCGUAAAACUCUGUUGUUAGGGAAGAACAAGUGCUAGUUGAAUAAGCUGGCACCUUGACGGUACCUAACCAGAAAGCCACGGCUAACUACGUGCCAGCAGCCGCGGUAAUACGUAGGUGGCAAGCGUUAUCCGGAAUUAUUGGGCGUAAAGCGCGCGCAGGUGGUUUCUUAAGUCUGAUGUGAAAGCCCACGGCUCAACCGUGGAGGGUCAUUGGAAACUGGGAGACUUGAGUGCAGAAGAGGAAAGUGGAAUUCCAUGUGUAGCGGUGAAAUGCGUAGAGAUAUGGAGGAACACCAGUGUGUUCGAUAAGAACGACUAUUCUGGUUUGACGCUGUAUAACUCAAUAAUGACGCGCGAUGCUUCAAGUCGUGUGGGAGCCAAUACAGGGAUUUAGAAUACCCUGGGUAGUCCACGUGCCGGCUAAACGAUGAGUGCUUAAGUGUUAGAGGAGUUUCCGCCCUUUAGUGCUGAAGUUAACGCAUUAAGCAAUCCGCCUGGGGAGUACGACCCGCAAGGCUGAAACUCAAAGGAAUUGACGGGGGCCCGCACAAGCGGUGGGAGCAUGUGGUUUUAAUUCGAAAGCAACGGCGAAAAAACCUUUACCAGGGUCGUGGACAGUCCUCCUGACAACCCUAGAGAUAGGGCUUCUCCUUCGGGAGCAGAGUGACAGGUGGUGCAUGGUUGUCGUCAGCUCGUGUCGUGAGAUGUUGGGUUAAGUCCCGCAACGAGCGCAACCCUUGAUCUUAGUUGCCAUCAUUUAGUUGGGCACUCUAAGGUGACUGCCGGUGACAAACCGGAGGAAGGUGGGGAUGACGUCAAAUCAUCAUGCCCCUUAUGACCUGGGCUACACACGUGCUACAAUGGACGGUACAAAGAGCUGCAAGACCGCGAGGUGGAGCUAAUCUCAUAAAACCGUUCUCAGUUCGGAUUGUAGGCUGCAACUCGCCUACAUGAAGCUGGAAUCGCUAGUAAUCGCGGAUCAGCAUGCCGCGGUGAAUACGUUCCCGGGCCUUGUACACACCGCCCGUCACACCACGAGAGUUUGUAACACCCGAAGUCGGUGGGGUAACCUUUUGGAGCCAGCCGCCUAAGGGGACAAGA